RNAcentral lists this ribosomal RNA (450 nucleotides) under uncultured bacterium. RNAcentral describes it as "partial 16S ribosomal RNA". It matches the Rfam family "Bacterial small subunit ribosomal RNA", at positions 338 to 795 of the family's 1533-position model. The record is from RNAcentral.
CCUACGGGUGGCUGCAGUGAGGAAUAUUGGUCAAUGGACGCAAGUCUGAACCAGCCAUGCCGCGUGAAGGAUGAAGGCCUUCUGGGUUGUAAACUUCUUUUAUUGGGGAAGAAAAUUACGGUUUCUACUGUAACCGACGGUACCCAAGGAAUCAGCACCGGCUAACUCCGUGCCAGCAGCCGCGGUAAUACGGAGGGUGCAAGCGUUAUCCGGAUUCACUGGGGUGUAGGCGUGCUUAUAAGUGCGUGGUGAAAUCUCCGGGCUCAACCUGGAAACUGCCAUUGAUACUAUUAGUCUUGAAUAUCGUUGAGGUAGGCGGAAUAUAUCAUGUAGCGGUGAAAUGCAUAGAUAUGAUAUAGAACACCGAUUGCGAAGGCAGCUUGCUAAACGAUGAUUGACGCUGAGGCACGAAAGCGUGGGGAUCAAACAGGAUUAGAUACCCGGGUAGUC